RNAcentral lists this transfer RNA (65 nucleotides) under Dipodomys ordii (Ord's kangaroo rat). It matches the Rfam family "tRNA". From Rfam's summary of the family: Transfer RNA (tRNA) molecules are approximately 80 nucleotides in length. Their secondary structure includes four short double-helical elements and three loops (D, anti-codon, and T loops). Further hydrogen bonds mediate the characteristic L-shaped molecular structure. tRNAs have two regions of fundamental functional importance: the anti-codon, which is responsible for specific mRNA codon recognition, and the 3' end, to which the tRNAs corresponding amino acid is attached (by aminoacyl-tRNA synthetases). tRNAs cope with the degeneracy of the genetic code in two manners: having more than one tRNA (with a specific anti-codon) for a particular amino acid; and 'wobble' base-pairing, i.e. permitting non-standard base-pairing at the 3rd anti-codon position. The record is from Rfam by way of RNAcentral. Lineage: Eukaryota; Metazoa; Chordata; Mammalia; Rodentia; Heteromyidae.
GGUAGCUCAGUGGUAGAGCUCUUGCCUUGCAUGCAUGAGGCCUUGGGUUCGAUUCCUCAGUACCA